RNAcentral lists this ribosomal RNA (468 nucleotides) under uncultured bacterium. RNAcentral's name for it is "partial 16S ribosomal RNA". It matches the Rfam family "Bacterial small subunit ribosomal RNA", at positions 28 to 507 of the family's 1533-position model. The record is from RNAcentral.
GACGAACGCUGGCGGCGUGCUUAACACAUGCAAGUCGAACGGAAAGGCCCUGCUUUUGUGGGGUGCUCGAGUGGCGAACGGGUGAGUAACACGUGAGUAACCUGCCCUUGACUUUGGGAUAACUUCAGGAAACUGGGGCUAAUACCGGAUAGGAGCUCCUGCUGCAUGGUGGGGGUUGGAAAGUUUCGGCGGUUGGGGAUGGACUCGCGGCUUAUCAGCUUGUUGGUGGGGUAGUGGCUUACCAAGGCUUUGACGGGUAGCCGGCCUGAGAGGGGGACCGGCCACAUUGGUACUGAGAUACGGCCCAGACUCCUACGGGAGGCAGCAGUGGGGAAUAUGGCACAAUGGGGGGAAGCCUGAUGCGGCAACGCCGCGUGCGGGAUGACGGCCUUCGGGUUGUAAACCGCUUUCGCCUGUGACGAAGCGUGAGUGACGGUAAUGGGUAAAGAAGCACCGGCUAACUACGUG